Long non-coding RNA from Mustela lutreola (European mink), 2519 nucleotides. RefSeq lists it as uncharacterized. The record is from RefSeq and is a predicted model, not a curated record. The transcript is spliced from 5 exons. Lineage: Eukaryota; Metazoa; Chordata; Mammalia; Carnivora; Mustelidae.
CCGACCCUGAGCAGUGAUGGACCCCCCAGCCCGGGUCUGACCCUGAGCAGUGAUGGACCCCCUAACCCGGGUCUGACCCUGAGCUGUGAUGGACCCCCUAACCCGGGUCCGACCCUGAGCAGUGAUGGACCCCCUAACCCGGGUCUGACCCUGAGCUGUGAUGGACCCCCCAGCCCGGGUCCGACCCUGAGCAGUGAUGGACCCCCCCAGGUCUGACCCUGAGCAGUGAUGGACCCCCCCCCCCAGGUCCGACCCUGAGCUGUGAUGGACCCCCCCCCCCAGGUCCGACCCUGAGCAGUGAUGGACCCCCUAACGCAGGUCCAACCUUGAGCAGUCCGGGGCGCCUGGGAGGCUUAGCCUGAUGGUUAAGUUUCUGACUCUUCUUUUGGCUCCGGUCAUCAUGAUCUCACGACCACCGGGUGUGGAGUCCACUUGCGGUUCUCUCUCCCUCAGCCCCUCCCUGCUCCCACAGUCUCCCGCUCUCUUAAAAGAAUAAUUAAAAAAGGAGGAAGUUGCCCUCAUUUGGGCAGCUCCUAGAUCGUCAUGCACUGAAUGAAAUUAAGUUCUCAGACAAGGAUCUGCGCGUGGCGCCAGGCUGCCUCCGGGAGAGACGGGGGCUGGAUUCUGCACGUAGCUUUUGAUUUUUAUCAGAAAAGCAAGGACAGAUGCCUCCGGGCAUGGCAGAGGAGUACAGAGAGAGGGCACGUGUCCUGAAGCCAUAAAGUGUGCUUGUGUAGGCACGCGGGGCGUCCGUCACGGGAUAAGGGAGGAGCAGGGCGUUCGUGCUGGUCACCGUCAGGCGCAGGAAGGGGACCCAAGGGUUACAGGCGUUCAGGGCUCCUCACCUCUGCCCCUGGGGAUCGUGGGGUCCGGUUGCUUCGAGGCCAUUGUGCUCAACAGCCCGGGACCGGGAACCCUGCCGACGUUUUCAGGGGCUCCACACUCGUCCCGUGGGGCUUACAGUACACUUUCUGAGAACUCCACAUACAUGUACUGAAAAGAAAAUGCGGUUUCAUUUGAGAAUGGGUAUCACUAACCGCAUUUUCCCGCUUGCAUAUUUAGUGUAUUUAAAAAAUAUUUUUGGGAAUUCAUCAGGCAGCUUGGAAUUGUGGCAAAAAGCAGAGGACAACCUGGUAGGCAAACGAUGCUGAGUGAAACGCACACUGUAGCAGCCACAGGCAGGAAAUGGCUACAGUUGAAAAGAUGGGCAUUUUCUAAGAGACGUCAUGAUUGGAACAGAGUCAAAUGCUCGAUCGUCUAGCUGUUGUGUUUGCGUCUGGUUUCACAAAUCUCCACAUCAUUCAGGAACAGAAAAUACAGGACAGCUCCAAGCCCCGGCUAAUGCGGGAUGAAGGGCUUGGGGGCUUGGGGCCCUCGGCUUAGGGGCCGGCUCCCUCCCCGAACUUGCAGACCCACUGGCCAGGCUGGGCCUCAUCAGCACCUUCUCCUUGGCUCCACUCCUUAAGGGGAAACCGAGGCAGGGGCUACGAGCUGUUGUCCACAGGCCUCCUGGGUCUAUCAGGAUCCAGAGUUCUCAUCUGGGGCCGCUGACUUCCAGGGGGCCGGUGUCCCCGCCUGCCACUGACGAUAACCUCACUGGUCCUUGCAAGGAUUCCGGAAGACCCCAAGGGGGACGCUCUGCCCCUGCAGGAGCAGUUUGCAGGUCACUCCAACUACAUCCCAGAUGCAGGGGGCUCAGCUCACGGCCCAGCGCCUGGGGUGGGGGCGUGGAAGCCCUCCAGAGCGGCGAGAGCCAGGAAGGCUGCUGGGUACCACAAGCUCAGCUUUCGGGAGAACCGACCUGGUUUUUAAGAGCAAACAUGCAAUGGCACAAGAGCACACCCAAUUCCAGCAGCUCACGGAGGGAGGGUCUCCUUCUUCUCCGACACCCCUGCAGGGGUGAGUGGAGCGCUUCUCGGGAACGUGCGCUCUUCCACGCCCACCCUGCGACUCACACGCCUGGCCCUUCCGUCACGCAGGGCCCUGGUCCCCAAACCAGGAGGAAACACAGUGCCGUUGGCUUUACGUGAACAGUAUUCGUGGAAGGGAAAACCUGCACAUUGUAACUUCAAAACGGAGGCAAUUUUAUGAUUCCCCAGAUUGAUAAAAGCUUUAAGUCACUCCACAAAUGAACAGAGAAAAUACUGCCUUUUUGCUCAUUUGAAAGCAAGAUCUCCGUGCUGGCCGCUAAGUCCCUCUGGACAAGGGGCGCAGGCGUGCGGCUGCACCGCAGGCACAGUGAGACGGUCAGAGGGACACUCCGACUCCACCCGCAGGCACAGCUGGGCGACCACGUCCUCCAAGUCCCAGGGAGCUGACUGUCUUUCACCUUGUUCAGCAGGGAGCUCGUGGCCACGCAUCCCCUGCAGCGUGGGGCCGGCUCCGCCCAGUCCCCCGCAGCGGACUCCCUGCCCCUCCCACGGCUCCCCCGGCCGCGCCCCUGGCCUGCGCCCCAGAGUGGAAGACACUCCGUUUGCCUUUUAAUAGUAAACUUGAAAUAAAAGUGACAGAACACUGAG